This 253-nucleotide ribosomal RNA is filed under the name uncultured bacterium. RNAcentral describes it as "partial 16S ribosomal RNA". It matches the Rfam family "Bacterial small subunit ribosomal RNA", at positions 524 to 776 of the family's 1533-position model. The record is from RNAcentral.
UACGUAGGUGACAAGCGUUGUCCGGAUUUACUGGGCGUAAAGAGCGCGCAGGCGGUCGAUCAAGUCGAGUGUGAAAGCCCCCGGCUCAACUGGGGAGGGUCAUUCGAUACUGAUCGACUCGAAGGCAGGAGAGGGUAGUGGAAUUCCCGGUGUAGUGGUGAAAUGCGUAGAGAUGUGGAGGAACACCGAUGGCGAAGGCGGGUCUCUGGGCCGAUACUGACGCUGAGGAGCGAAAGCGUGGGGAGCGAACAGG